GCCGCGCGUGGGGGCGCGUAGGUCCGUGCCACGUCAGGCGCGUGGGGGCGCGUGAGGACUCCAAAAAUUAUUUUAAAAAUAUGGGGAUGAUCCUGAGGUUGUGUAGGUCACGGUGGUAUAUUCAUAUACCCAAUUUGAGCAAUAUAUGAGGAGUUAUUAACUAAGAUUUGGGUUAGGCGUUAAAUAACGUCAAAUUGGUUACUCUUGUAUAGGUGAGGUUUAUGCGGGCAUCGGGCAUGGCCAAGGGAUGCUCAGGGACUUACGAGACGUCGAUGUAUUCUGUGAGUGGGCAGUUUUGUUUUCUGUAUAUAUAUAUACUUGACGUUUCCCAGAAAUUGAAUUGAAAUGAAAAUAUGUUUAAAAUGAAAUGCAUAUGAGUUAUGUGGAAAAACGGGAAGUGAAAUACCAUGCAUAGAAUUGAUAUGAAAAGUAUAUAGAAAUGUGAGUUGAAAUGCCAUGCAUGAAUUAAUAUAUGAUGCAUAUGUAUGAAUUAGUGCGGUGGACGCACAGGUAAGAAUUGAUUUAUGAUGCAUAUGCAUGAAUUAGUGCGGUGGACGCACAGGUAAGAAUUGAUUUAUGAUGCAUAUGCAUGAAUUGGUGCGGUGGACGCACGGGUAAGAAUUGAUUUAUGAUGCAUAUGUAUGAAAUGGUGCGGUGGACGCACAUGUGAGUAUUUAUUUCUGUUAUGAUGAUGUUGAUGUAUAUUGAGCUCAAAUCCUGCACCAUAGUUUAGUGUUUAUAGUAUUCACCGCAUCGCACGCUCGUCUUGGAUCCAAGUAGAUGCUAGUCGUACAGUCCACGCGGAGUGGGUACGACAGGCCAGUCGCGAGAGUGUUAGUGAGAUUCCGACUGGUGGGUGACCUUAGAUUAUGUGCACAGAUGAUUUAUGAGAAGCACUAGAGCGUAACUUAUGUGCAGAAGGCCGGACAGGUCACGCGGAGUGACUCCGGCAGAGUGUGAGAGUGAUAGAUUUUGAGCUCUAGGUUCAACCGUGCAGGGCUAUUAGAGGGCCUCCGGUUGAUUACUUUCUUGCACCUGAUAUGAUUAUUGUUGAUGCAUCCAUACUUAACUGUUGAAUUAGACAUGGCAUGGCAUGAUUGAUAAAGAAAAAUGUUGAGAUAGUAAAAAAUGAAGUUUGAGAAUAUAUAUGUAUAUUUAUAUUUUACAUUUCUGGGAAAGUAUACAGGUUUUACGGAGAGGGGUUACAACGUUUUGAGAAAUGUUUGGAU
This 1229-nucleotide long non-coding RNA is filed under the name Malus domestica (apple). RNAcentral's name for it is "long non-coding RNA (MDOM_LNC009657)". The record is from RNAcentral. Lineage: Eukaryota; Viridiplantae; Streptophyta; Magnoliopsida; Rosales; Rosaceae.